Molecule: non-coding RNA, 461 nt
Organism: Pelobates cultripes (western spadefoot toad)
Lineage: Eukaryota; Metazoa; Chordata; Amphibia; Anura; Pelobatidae
Source: the annotation of a GenBank genome assembly
GGUGGUGACUGUCACUAGUCACUAGUCACCACCUCCCUCACUCUGUCCCUAGUCACCCCUCUCUCUGUUACUAGUCACACCCUCCCUCACUCUGUCACUAGAGUGAGGGGGUGACAGAGUGAGGGAAGGGGUGACUAGUGGCAGAGUGAGGGAAGGAAGGGGUGACUAAUGACUGAGUGAGGAAGGAGGUGACACAGUGACAGAGUGAGGGAGGGGGUGACUAGUGACAGAGUGAAGGAGGUGGUGACUGUCACUAGUCACCCCAUCCCUCCCUCUGUCACUAAUCACCACCUCCCUCACUCUGUCACCCCUUCCCUCCCUCACUCUGUCACUAGUCACCCCCUCCCUCUCUCUGUCACUAGUCACCUCCUCCCUCACUCUGUCACUAGUCACACCCUUCCUCACUGUCACUAGUCACCCUCUCCCUCUCUCUGUCACUAGUCACACCCUCCCUCACUCUG